Molecule: ribosomal RNA, 505 nt
Filed under: uncultured bacterium
Lineage: Bacteria
Description: partial 16S ribosomal RNA
Rfam family: Bacterial small subunit ribosomal RNA
Source: RNAcentral
GACGAACGCUGGCGGCGUGCCUAAUACAUGCAAGUAGAACGCACAGUUUAUACCGUAGCUUGCUACACCAUAAACUGUGAGUUGCGAACGGGUGAGUAACGCGUAGGUAACCUGCCUGGUAGCGGGGGAUAACUAUUGGAAACGAUAGCUAAUACCGCAUAAUAUUGAUUAUUGCAUGAUAAUUGAUUGAAAGAUGCUAUUGCAUCACUACCAGAUGGACCUGCGUUGUAUUAGCUAGUAGGUGAGGUAACGGCUCACCUAGGCGACGACACAUAGCCGACCUGAGAGGGUGAUCGGCCACACUGGGACUGAGACACGGCCCAGACUCCUACGGGAGGCAGCAGUAGGGAAUCUUCGGCAAUGGACGAAAGUCUGACCGAGCAACGCCGCGUGAGUGAAGAAGGUUUUCGGAUCGUAAAGCUCUGUUGUAAGAGAAGAACGGGUGUGAGAGUGGAAAGUUCACACUGUGACGGUAUCUUACCAGAAAGGGGCGGCUAACUACGUG